AGUGAACGCUGGCGGUAGGCCUAACACAUGCAAGUCGAACGGCAGCACAGUAAGAGCUUGCUCUUACGGGUGGCGAGUGGCGGACGGGUGAGGAAUACAUCGGAAUCUACCUUUUCGUGGGGGAUAACGUAGGGAAACUUACGCUAAUACCGCAUACGACCUACGGGUGAAAGCAGGGGAUCUUCGGACCUUUCGCGAUUGAAUGAGCCGAUGUCGGAUUAGCUAGUUGGCGGGGUAAAGGCCCACCAAGGCGACGAUCCGUAGCUGGUCUGAGAGGAUGAUCAGCCACACUGGAACUGAGACACGGUCCAGACUCCUACGGGAGGCAGCAGUGGGGAAUAUUGGACAAUGGGCGCAAGCCUGAUCCAGCCAUACCGCGUGGGUGAAGAAGGCCUUCGGGUUGUAAAGCCCUUUUGUUGGGAAAGAAAAGCAGCAGGUUAAUACCCCGCUGUUCUGACGGUACCCAAAGAAUAAGCACCGGCUAACUUCGUG
This 492-nucleotide ribosomal RNA is filed under the name uncultured bacterium. RNAcentral describes it as "partial 16S ribosomal RNA". It matches the Rfam family "Bacterial small subunit ribosomal RNA", at positions 29 to 507 of the family's 1533-position model. The record is from RNAcentral.